CAUUACCGAGUUAUUCAACUCAUCAACCCUGUGAACAUACCUAAACGUUGCUUCGGCGGGAAUAGACGGCCCCGUAAAACGGGCCGCCCCCGCCAGAGGACCCUUAACUCUGUUUCUAUAAUGUUUCUUCUGAGUAAAACAAGCAAAUAAAUUAAAACUUUCAACAACGGAUCUCUUGGCUCUGGCAUCGAUGAAGAACGCAGCGAAAUGCGAUAAGUAAUGUGAAUUGCAGAAUUCAGUGAAUCAUCGAAUCUUUGAACGCACAUUGCGCCCGCCAGUAUUCUGGCGGGCAUGCCUGUUCGAGCGUCAUUACAACCCUCAGGCCCCCGGGCCUGGCGUUGGGGAUCGGCGGAGCCCCCCGUGGGCACACGCCGUCCCCCAAAUACAGUGGCGGUCCCGCCGCAGCUUCCAUCGCGUAGUAGCUAACACCUCGCGACUGGAGAGCGGCGCGGCCACGCCGUAAAACACCCAACUCUUCUGAAGUUGAC
This 488-nucleotide ribosomal RNA is filed under the name Fusarium solani. RNAcentral describes it as "eukaryotic LSU rRNA". The stretch from base 156 to 309 matches the Rfam family "5.8S ribosomal RNA". Lineage: Eukaryota; Fungi; Ascomycota; Sordariomycetes; Hypocreales; Nectriaceae. The record is from RNAcentral.